This 1340-nucleotide long non-coding RNA is filed under the name Ictidomys tridecemlineatus (thirteen-lined ground squirrel). Its description in RNAcentral is "lncRNA (ENSSTOG00000034469.1)". The record is from RNAcentral. Lineage: Eukaryota; Metazoa; Chordata; Mammalia; Rodentia; Sciuridae.
AUCUCUUCAGAGCUGAACUAAAAUCAGAAGCCAUUCUACUUACUGAACAUGAGAUAUCAUAGCCAUAGGGAUCUACAAAGAAUCGAAAUCAGCACAAUGGCUAAAUUUCUCCAGAAGACAGGUCCAGCGUUCUGGUGCUACACAAUGGCCUCAUUAUGGAUAUGAAGCAUCCGACUGUGGGGAAGAUUUCAGUCCCAGGCCCAGCUGUGAGAUACAGUAAGUUCAAGAUGUCAGAGGCCAGGCCACCUCCCCUGCUUGGGCAGCACACAACGUGCAUCCUGAAGGAGGUCCUUGGAUACGAUGACAGGGCUGUUGGGGAGCUGCUCAGCGCUGGAGUCGUGACCCAACACAAAACCAAGUGACAAAAGAGAAGCACUCUCUCUCAAAACCACAGUCUGAGUGCACUUUGCUGGUAAAGGUGAUACUCUCUGGAUCCUUCUCCCCAAUCCUGAUGCCAGGAUUUCCUGCCUGGAAUCUUUGCAAUAACUCUGGAAUUAACGAGCCUCGUGCCCUUCAAAUAUACCCCACCUUUUAUUCCCUAACAUUUUCUUUCAGAUGAUGGUUUAAUUGUGGAUUUGUGGAUUUUUUUUAUAAAGAUGUAAUAACUUUGUUUCCAUCCAAUAGAAAUGGUAUAUAUUUAAGGUGACAGAUAUGUUAAUUAGUCUGAUUCAAUCCUUCCAUAAAGUAUAUGUGUAUGAAGCAUCAAAUUAUACCCUGUAAAUAUAUACAAUUACUGUUUGUAAUUGUAUAUACAAUAUACAAUUCAUUAAAAAUGAAUCAAACUUAAAGAUUUAAUUUUUUUUCCUGUAAAAAUACACUUCUCAUUCUAAUUACUUUAAAGGCCUAAAUGUUUGCCUGACCCGCCCACACAGGCCUGAAAAAGAGCAGAUCUCUGGACAUUUUCUACUUGUACAUAAAGUCCUCAUUUAAAUCUUUGUUAGGAAGUCAAAGCAAUAAGCAGAAUGACAGUCUCUGUGAUUGAUUUUAAACAGAAUAACUUAAUUUUGAGCUCAUGAAUCCUUUGUUAGUCUGUAAUUUAAACCAUAGACUUUGCCGAUGUCCAUCAUAAAACUGAGCUCCAUUCUCCCUUGUGGGAAUAAAUAUUUGCUUUAUGUUGUACUUCCCUGGUGAUUUCAUGACAUGUGGCAGAAAAUCAAUUUCCACCAAUGGAUUUGGGGUGUCGCUAUCUAUCUGUAUGAUUGGGAAGAAACGGCUCUUUAAUCGGUACCUUACCUUGAGCCAUAUCCAAAUGAAACAGAUUUUUUAAGAGUGUUAGAUGACUCUCAGGGUACUAAAUAAUAUAUAAACAAUGACAUGUAGAACAAUGACAGGAAAACAUU